AUUGAACGCUGGCGGCAGGCCUAACACAUGCAAGUCGAGCGGCAGCGGGAAGUAGCUUGCUACUUUGCCGGCGAGCGGCGGACGGGUGAGUAAUGUCUGGGAAACUGCCCGAUGGAGGGGGAUAACUACUGGAAACGGUAGCUAAUACCGCAUAACGUCGCAAGACCAAAGCGGGGGACCUUCGGGCCUCUUGCCAUCGGAUGUGCCCAGAUGGGAUUAGCUAGUAGGUGGGGUAACGGCUCACCUAGGCGACGAUCCCUAGCUGGUCUGAGAGGAUGACCAGCCACACUGGAACUGAGACACGGUCCAGACUCCUACGGGAGGCAGCAGUGGGGAAUAUUGCACAAUGGGCGCAAGCCUGAUGCAGCCAUGCCGCGUGUAUGAAGAAGGCCUUCGGGUUGUAAAGUACUUUCAGCGGGGAGGAAGGUGUUGAGGUUAAUAACCUCAGCAAUUGACGUUACCCGCAGAAGAAGCACCGGCUAACUCCGUGCCAGCAGCCGCCGUAA
RNAcentral lists this ribosomal RNA (506 nucleotides) under uncultured bacterium. RNAcentral describes it as "partial 16S ribosomal RNA". It matches the Rfam family "Bacterial small subunit ribosomal RNA", at positions 30 to 523 of the family's 1533-position model. The record is from RNAcentral.